AUUGAACGCUGGCGGAAUGCUUUACACAUGCAAGUCGAACGGCAGCACGGACUUCGGUCUGGUGGCGAGUGGCGAACGGGUGUGUAAUGUAUCGGAACGUGCCCAGUCGUGGGGGAUAACGUAGUGAAAAUUACGCUAAUACCGCAUACGAUCUAUGGAUGAAAGCGGGGGAUCGCAAGACCUCGCGCGAUUGGAGCGGCCGAUAUCAGAUUAGGUAGUUGGUGGGAUAAAGGCCCACCAAGCCAACGAUCUGUAGCUGGUCUGAGAGGACGACCAGCCACACUGGAACUGAGACACGGUCCAGACUCCUACGGGAGGCAGCAGUGGGGAAUUUUGGACAAUGGGCGAAAGCCUGAUCCAGCCAUUCCGCGUGCAGGAUGAAGGCCCUCGGGUUGUAAACUGCUUUUGUACAGAACGAAAAGGUUUCUACUAAUACUAGGAGCUCAUGACGGUACUGUAAGAAUAAGCACCGGCUAACUACGUGCCAGCCGCCGCGGUAA
RNAcentral lists this ribosomal RNA (500 nucleotides) under uncultured bacterium. RNAcentral describes it as "partial 16S ribosomal RNA". It matches the Rfam family "Bacterial small subunit ribosomal RNA", at positions 30 to 523 of the family's 1533-position model. The record is from RNAcentral.